GACGAACGCUGGCGGCGUGCUUAACACAUGCAAGUCGAACGAUGAAGCACCAGCUUGCUGGUGUGGAUUAGUGGCGAACGGGUGAGUAACACGUGAGUAACCUGCCCUUCACUCUGGGAUAACCCUGGGAAACUGGGUCUAAUACUGGAUACGACCGACCUCCGCAUGGUGUGUUGGUGGAAGGUUUUGGGGUUGGGGAUGGACUCGCGGCCUAUCAGCUUGUUGGUGGGGUAAUGGCCUACCAAGGCGACGACGGGUAGCCGGCCUGAGAGGGCGACCGGCCACACUGGGACUGAGACACGGCCCAGACUCCUACGGGAGGCAGCAGUGGGGAAUAUUGCACAAUGGGCGAAAGCCUGAUGCAGCGACGCCGCGUGAGGGAUGACGGCCUUCGGGUUGUAAACCUCUUUCACCAGGGACGAAGCUAACGUGACGGUACCUGGAGAAGAAGCACCGGCUAACUACGUG
Molecule: ribosomal RNA, 468 nt
Filed under: uncultured bacterium
Lineage: Bacteria
Description: partial 16S ribosomal RNA
Rfam family: Bacterial small subunit ribosomal RNA
Source: RNAcentral